Molecule: long non-coding RNA, 583 nt
Filed under: Macaca mulatta (Rhesus monkey)
Lineage: Eukaryota; Metazoa; Chordata; Mammalia; Primates; Cercopithecidae
Description: lncRNA (ENSMMUG00000041772.2)
Source: RNAcentral
AGUUGAAAUUUAGCCCAAACGCAAAAGGUAGAUUGAAUAGCCUCUUUCUGUUUUUUUCUUUGGCACAGGUGGUACAUCAAAAUCCAAUCUGCAAAGAUGCAAGAUAUUCAGAAUUCUCUUAUACUCUCUACUAAUUUCAUGAUACAGUCAAAUUCUCACUCCAGCAUUCUAGUGUCUGAAGAAUAUUGUUUUAAAUUGCAGGAGGCCAGGAGCAGUGGCUCAUGCCUGUAAAUCCAGCACUUUGGAAGGCCGAGGCAGGCAGAUCACCUGAGGUCAGGAGUUCGAGGUCAGCCUGACCAACAUGGAAAAACCCCUUCUCUACUAAAAGUACAAAAUUAGCUGUGCGUGGAGGCGCACGCCUGUAAUCCCAACUACUCGGGAGGCUGAGGCAGGAGAAUCGCUUGAACCCGGGAGGCAGAGGUUGCGGUGAACCGAGAUCGUACCAUUGCACUCCAGCCUGGGCAAUAAGAGCGAAACUCUGUCUCAAAAAUAAAUAAAUAAAUAAAUAAAUAAAUAAAUAGUAAUUUUUAUCAGUAUGCCUCAGAUCUUGUAAAAGUCUUUACCACUUUUGUCAAGAGAGAUC